CCUACGGGUGGCUGCAGUGGGGGAUAUUGCACAAUGGGGGGAACCCUGAUGCAGCGACGCCGCGUGGGCGAUGGAGUGCUUCGGCAUGUAAAGCCCUAUCAGCAGGGAAGAAAAUGACGGUACCUGACUAAGAAGCCCCGGCUAAAUACGUGCCAGCAGCCGCGGUAAUACGUAUGGGGCAAGCGUUAUCCGGAUUUACUGGGUGUAAAGGGAGCGUAGGCGGCCUGGCAAGCCUGAUGUGAAAUACCGGGGCCCAACCCCGGGGCUGCAUUGGGAACUGCCAGGCUGGAGUGCCGGAGAGGCAGGCGGAAUUCCUAGGGUAGCGGUGAAAUGCGUAGAUAUGACGAAGAACCCCGAUUGCGAAGGCAGCUUGCUGCAGCGGAACUGACGCUGAUGCUCGAAAGCGCGGGUAUCGAACAGGAUUAGAUACCCGUGUAGUC
This 440-nucleotide ribosomal RNA is filed under the name uncultured bacterium. RNAcentral describes it as "partial 16S ribosomal RNA". It matches the Rfam family "Bacterial small subunit ribosomal RNA", at positions 338 to 795 of the family's 1533-position model. The record is from RNAcentral.